GGAUCUGUUAAAAUUGGAUAA
Molecule: microRNA, 21 nt
Filed under: Dictyostelium discoideum
Lineage: Eukaryota; Evosea; Eumycetozoa; Dictyosteliales; Dictyosteliaceae
Description: ddi-miR-7095-3p
Source: miRBase by way of RNAcentral